CCACCGCUUCCCUUGAGAAGGGAGACUAAAGACAGGCAUCUGGAAGCUGUCACUGUGGCGCGCGGGCAGACAGGGGAUCCCAUUGGAGAGGAAGAGCCGUAGUAGUCGCUGCUGCCUUCGGCCGACCCAACGGCCGCCUGCUUGGGAGGAAGAAAAAGAACGCCCCCGCUGAAGAAUUAAGGCAGCCAUUGGUUGCUCUAGGGGUAAGGACCGAGGCCUCCCCUGGGUGUCACUGGAGCAGCCACACAUGGGGGAUCAGCCGACUUCAUUCGAUCGCUGGCGACAGACCCGGCGACCCGUAGGAAUGCGCGCUGGGGCUGCGGCUGGAGGGCGUGGCGACGGCAACAGGCGGGUGGCUCGAGUGGGUGCGACUCUGGGCGCGUGGGACUGAGAACUCCUCCGCCGUGGGGAAGAUUUUUUUCCCAGCAGAUGUUGGGGUGUUACUGCGUGUCUGAGGGGCCGGCGGAAUGGAGGGGUCCCGGUUCGUGCGGGGCAGCGAGGUGUGUCAGAUGAGCUGUGGAUCCCUGCGGCCCCACGUGGGCCGGAGAGGGGGGCCCACGACAACAAGCGAUUGAGGACAGCGAUGGACAGGGCGGGGAACCAGCUGGGUGGAAGCACAGGGAAAGUGUGGUGAGGAGGGAAGGGCUGUGAUCUGCCCUCGGUACGACGCCCCAAGGGACAGCCUGGCCUCCUGAAUUAGGGAAAAGACAACCCGUCUCUUUAGACUGGGGCGCCUCAGAGUCUGACCUGAGUCUUCAAACGCCCAGAUCCCCUGGGGCCUUGAGUCUCCCUUUCCCGCUGGCCCUGCCUCGCCUGCGCUUCAAGACUCCGACGCCCCCGCAGCCUUGGGCUAAGGGUCAGUCGUCCCCGGGCGCGGGUCCGGCUGCCCUGGAACUGAUGCUGGAUUUCGCUGGAGAAGAGAAGAAGGCCACAUGAAGAUGGAGCAAGAGAUUGGAGUGAUGUGGCCACAAGCCAAGGAAGCUGACGAAUGAAGACAGCUGUCAGAAGCUGGAAGAGGAAAAGGAUUCUCUCUUGGGGUCUCCAGAGGGAGAACAGCCCUGCCAACACUUCCAUUUCCAAUGUCUGGACUCUAGAACUGUGAGAAAAUAAAUUCCCAUUAUUUUAAGGAACACAGUUUGUGAUACUGCAUUACAGCAGC
This 1159-nucleotide long non-coding RNA is filed under the name Pan troglodytes (chimpanzee). RNAcentral describes it as "long non-coding RNA NONPTRT012531". The record is from RNAcentral. Lineage: Eukaryota; Metazoa; Chordata; Mammalia; Primates; Hominidae.